AUUAAAAAGGCAAACCCGUCGAAAGGCGGCGACGCAAAGCUCUGGUGUCUAAUUAGUAUUCUAAACGACCGACCGGCUG
RNAcentral lists this non-coding RNA (79 nucleotides) under uncultured Ruminococcus sp. RNAcentral describes it as "Cyclic di-GMP-I riboswitch". It matches the Rfam family "c-di-GMP-I riboswitch aptamer". From Rfam's summary of the family: GEMM was predicted in a large-scale screen for bacterial structured RNA regulatory elements. The record is from RNAcentral. Lineage: Bacteria; Bacillati; Bacillota; Clostridia; Eubacteriales; Oscillospiraceae.